RNAcentral lists this long non-coding RNA (387 nucleotides) under Oryza brachyantha (malo sina). RNAcentral describes it as "long non-coding RNA (OBRA_LNC002753)". Lineage: Eukaryota; Viridiplantae; Streptophyta; Magnoliopsida; Poales; Poaceae. The record is from RNAcentral.
GGGGUGCGGGGGCGGGAGAGGGCGGCGCCGCUCCCGGUGAGGCAAGCGGCGCCGAAGCGGUGGAGGCUGAGCAUGAGGUAGGACAACGACCUCCCAGGUCGGAAUAGGAGGCUGCGGCGGGCGUCGCGGCGGAGGUCCCGGUCGAGCGCGGCGGAGAGGGUGGGGGACGGGGACGCCGGGCGGGCCAUGGGGAUCGGAGCGAGGCGCGCACGCGUGGGCCGGGCGAGAGGUGACCCGCAGGCGCAGUGGCAUCGCGGUGGGGUGGGUAGGCAUGUGCGGAGAGGAAAACGAUGGGCGGCGGCGAUUCCGACGCGGGCGGGCGGGAUGAACAACGCGAUUCCGACGCCGGCAGCGGGUGUCGACCGGAGAAGGGGUUUAUGCCGGGGC